AGGUUCUUCUGUGAUAUGUUUUCAUGGUGUGGGAAUAAGACUUGGUGGUCUAAUACAGCUAAUAUAAAGGUUAGCAUCACAGCUUGUCUGUAAGGAUUGAAGCUGGGAGUGGGCAUUGGAGCGGACUUUUAUGAUAACUGUGGCUGCAUAAGAUGGUAGUGUUAUAUAACUGCAACAGUUAAGAAUGUAAUUCAGACUAUUUUUGGGUAUGCUUGAAAAAAUGUUUAUAAUUUUUUUACAAAAAAAAAUAAAAUUGUAAA
Molecule: long non-coding RNA, 260 nt
Organism: Mytilus trossulus (common blue mussel)
Lineage: Eukaryota; Metazoa; Mollusca; Bivalvia; Mytilida; Mytilidae
Exons: 3
Source: RefSeq, a predicted model, not a curated record